AGUAGUACGUAGUGGUAGUUUGUACUCCGUGGCUACGAGGAUAGAACGCUGGGCGGGCGGUGCCUACAAACAUGCAAGUCGGAGGCGGGGCUAUGUAAUAUCGCAAGGUAGAACAUAGCCUAGCGGCGAACGGGUGAGUAACACGUGGGUAACCUGCCUGGAAGACAGGGAUAACGAUUCGAAAGGGUCGCUAAUACCUGAUAAUAUCCUUUCAUCGCAUGGUGAUAGGAAGAAAGGGGAAACCCGCUUUCAGAUGGGCCCGCGUCCCAUCAGCUAGUUGGUAAGGUAAAGGCUUACCAAGGCGACGACGGGUAGCCGGUCUGAGAGGAUGUACGGCCACACUGGGACUGAGAUACGGCCCAGACUCCUACGGGAGGCAGCAGUUGGGAAUCUUAGGCAAUGGACGAAAGUCUGACCUAGCGACGCCGCGUGAGGGAAGAAGGCCUUCGGGUUGUAAACCUCUGUCAUGGGGGAAGAAGUAAGUGACGGUACCCCAAGAGGAAGCCCCUGCUAACUACGUG
This 521-nucleotide ribosomal RNA is filed under the name uncultured bacterium. RNAcentral's name for it is "bacterial SSU rRNA". It matches the Rfam family "Bacterial small subunit ribosomal RNA", at positions 35 to 507 of the family's 1533-position model. The record is from RNAcentral.